UCUCCGUUGGUGAACCAGCGGAGGGAUCAUUACAAAGUUGCAAAACUCCCAAACCAUUGUGAACGUUACCUAUCCCGUUGCUUCGGCGGGCGGCCCGGGCCCCGCGCCCGGCGCCCCCCGGCCCCCCGUGGGCGCCCGCCGGAGGUAAACCAAACCCUUGAAUUGCAUGGCCUCUCUGAGUCUUCUGUACUGAAUAAGUCAAAACUUUCAACAACGGAUCUCUUGGUUCUG
RNAcentral lists this unclassified non-coding RNA (231 nucleotides) under plant metagenome. Its description in RNAcentral is "partial contains small subunit ribosomal RNA, internal transcribed spacer 1, and 5.8S ribosomal RNA". The record is from RNAcentral.